UUUUGCCAAUGCUGUCAUAGAAGAGGAGAUCACAGAUUCAGAGGAAGAGAUGAAAGAGAACCAACAGGGACUGGGAAUGAAAAGGAUCCAGGUUCUUUCUGGAAAACAAACAUCAUCAUAGAGCCCAACAUCACCAUGGAUACAUCAUCUCAUUAGAACAGGUUUAUACUUUACCAGAGGAAACUGCCUAUAAACUAUGACAAAGUAUGUAAGCUAUUUGGAAUCCUGCUCUGAUUCUAUACUUAUUAGGUCUCAAGGAUAAUGAAACUCAGACAUGACAAGAUUAGUCACAAAUAGAAGGAAUUAUAGAAGAAGACAAACUUGGAACCUCAACUCUCUUAGAAAUGUACUCACAACUUGCUCUGGAUCUUGGCCAGUUUGUAAUUCCAGGAGUCCUAGAAGAAACAGAGUGGGAAGGACCUUGCCAGAUGCUCCAGAUGAGUGAGAGUGCAGUCUAGAGGCUGAGAACACCAAUCCUAAAGGACCUAUGGAGGAACCUCAAGCAUGGACUGUAAGGUGAUUUGCCUACAAACUUCCAGUAAAUUCUAAACAAGUUGGACAUCAUUCCCAGACUCUCUUCUCAAUAAGCGAAAUAGCUAUUGCUACUGCAUUAAGAUUUCCAGAAAUAGGAGAAUCAUUACAAAGCAAGAAUGAUUAACUUCACAAGAAUGUUGCAUGAAUUAAUGAGAUAAUAACUUUGUAAUUUUUUGCAAGAUAUAUGUUUCAUAAAGACAUAGCCAACAGGAGCACUAUAAGAAAAAAUGAUGCAAAUGCUUCCAAAUCGCCCUGAUAAAUAAAUAAAAAUA
This is a long non-coding RNA of Sarcophilus harrisii (Tasmanian devil), 806 nucleotides long. RefSeq lists it as uncharacterized. The record is from RefSeq and is a predicted model, not a curated record. NCBI's taxonomy places the organism in Eukaryota, Metazoa, Chordata, Mammalia, Dasyuromorphia, Dasyuridae. The transcript has 7 exons.